RNAcentral lists this ribosomal RNA (354 nucleotides) under uncultured Methanocorpusculum sp. Its description in RNAcentral is "partial 16S ribosomal RNA". Lineage: Archaea; Methanobacteriati; Methanobacteriota; Methanomicrobia; Methanomicrobiales; Methanocorpusculaceae. The record is from RNAcentral.
GGACUACGCGGGUAUCUAAUCCCGUUUGCUCCCCCAGCUUUCGUCCCUCACUGUCGAAGCUGUUCUGGUAAACUGCCUUCGCCAUAGGUCGUCCCUCGAGGAUUACAAGAUUUCACUCCUACCCCCGAAGUACGGUUUACCUCUCCCAGUUCCAAGACUGCCGGUAUCUCUUAGACGCCUUCACGUUGAGCGUGAAGAUUUCCCAAGAGACCUAACAGGCUGGCACCGGUCUUGCCCUGCCCUUUCUUCACAUAUGAUUUAGAUAUAUGAACAGCCUGCAUCGACAGGCACUCAGGGUUUCCUUAUCACGAUUGCUCGCAUUGUAAAGUUUGCGCGCCUGCUGCCCCCCGUAGG